UCGAGGAUCUUCGUCAAUGGGCGAAAGCCUGAACGAGCGAUGCCGCGUGCGCGAUGAAGGCCUUCGGGUUGUAAAGCGCGAAAGUGGGGAGAAAAGCCCGAAAGGGCUUGAUCUAUCCACAGUAAGCUCGGGCUAAGUUCGUGCCAGCAGCCGCGGUAAGACGAACCGAGCGAACGUUGUUCGGAAUCACUGGGCUUAAAGGGCGCGUAGGCGGGCUGUCAAGUCUGGGGUGAAAUCCCGCGGCUCAACCGUGGAACUGCCUCAGAUACUGACGGUCUCGAGGGAGGUAGGGGCGAGCGGAACUGAUGGUGGAGCGGUGAAAUGCGUUGAUAUCAUCAGGAACUCCGGUGGCGAAGGCGGCUCGCUGGACCUCUUCUGACGCUGAGGCGCGAAAGCCAGGGGAGCAAACGG
RNAcentral lists this ribosomal RNA (411 nucleotides) under uncultured bacterium. RNAcentral describes it as "bacterial SSU rRNA". It matches the Rfam family "Bacterial small subunit ribosomal RNA", at positions 355 to 775 of the family's 1533-position model. The record is from RNAcentral.